UUGUGGAUUGUUAAUUUUAUUGGUUGAUCUUUUAGAUUGCUGAUUUGAACAAUAAGGUAUCAAAGACUUAUUCAUCUAGGAAAUUUGCUUAAUGAUGCAGAAUAAGGUAUUAUCAAGUGGAGCCAUCUCUAUCCUCGGACCUGGUUGCUCAGCCUCAAAGUUCUUCAUCAACAUAUGGACCUCUGCAUCCAUUCUUGGACAGUGAGUUCGUAUUUAUAUCCUCCUUUGAAAGCAUGUUUGGAAGAUUUGAGGAAGAAUGAGUUGAAGAAUUUUUUUUGAAGAAAUUGAAGGUAAAAUUUGUGUUAUUUAUUUUAAAGAAUUUAAAAAUAAAAGUAAAAAGAUUUA
Molecule: small RNA, 345 nt
Filed under: Vigna angularis var. angularis
Lineage: Eukaryota; Viridiplantae; Streptophyta; Magnoliopsida; Fabales; Fabaceae
Description: Non-protein coding transcript
Source: RNAcentral